This 469-nucleotide ribosomal RNA is filed under the name uncultured Glomus. RNAcentral's name for it is "SSU rRNA". It matches the Rfam family "Eukaryotic small subunit ribosomal RNA", at positions 583 to 1056 of the family's 1831-position model. The record is from RNAcentral. Lineage: Eukaryota; Fungi; Glomeromycota; Glomeromycetes; Glomerales; Glomeraceae.
UUCCAGCUCCAAUAGCGUAUAUUAAAGUUGUUGCAGUUAAAAAGCUCGUAGUUGAAUUUCGGGGUUAGUAGGCUGGUCAUGCCUCCGGUAUGUACUGGUCUCACUGAUUCCUCCUUCCUGAUGAACCGUAAUGCCAUUAAUUUGGUGUUGCGGGGAAUCUGGACUGUUACUUUGAAAAAAUUAGAGUGUUUAAAGCAGGCUAACGCUUGAAUACAUUAGCAUGGAAUAAUGAAAUAGGACGUUCGAUCCUAUUUUGUUGGUUUCUAGGAUUGACGUAAUGAUUAAUAGGGAUAGUUGGGGGCAUUAGUAUUCAAUUGUCAGAGGUGAAAUUCUUGGAUUUAUUGAAGACUAACUACUGCGAAAGCAUUUGCCAAGGAUGUUUUCAUUAAUCAAGAACGAAAGUUAGGGGAUCGAAGACGAUCAGAUACCGUCGUAGUCUUAACCAUAAACUAUGCCGACUAGGGAUCGG